RNA transcript from Sorghum bicolor (sorghum), 2936 nucleotides. It is a transcript of the gene named protein UPSTREAM OF FLC, with no coding region annotated. The transcript is spliced from 7 exons. The record is from RefSeq and is a predicted model, not a curated record. NCBI's taxonomy places the organism in Eukaryota, Viridiplantae, Streptophyta, Magnoliopsida, Poales, Poaceae.
CCCCACACCCUUGCCCUUUCCCUUUCCCUUUCCCCGCCAUUAACCUGACGCGUGCUGCCGCGGCCGCAGACUCGCAGUCGAGAGGUCGACGGCGACUCCGUCCUCGGCCCACGGGGAAAAGAAAAAAAGUCAUUCCCUUCCCUGCUCCAGCUCGCCCGAAAAAGCUCCCGUUUUGCAGGCCCCGUGCUCGCCAUUACGCCCUGCCCCGAUUCAAAGCCGUCAUUGCCUUCUUGAGCUCGUCGUCUCGUCGCGCAUAUCACACAUCCUCCCCCGCCCGCCCCCGCUGCUCCCUGCCUCCCUCUCGUGCUUCUCCCGCCCAAGCCCAAGCACGCACGCAUCCUCCUCCUCACGCCUCGCUGUAAACCAACCAGCCAGCCAACCCUUUUGAGGCUUGGAAGCACCUGCGUGUCCGCGCGCUGCCUCCCACGCCCCCCUCCCUCCCCCGGCCGGAAAGCUCCAACCGAGGAUUUUUGUUUGUACGCACCCGCUUGGCCCUUCCUGUGGUCACAUCGCCCCCCGCUCCCGCGUCAAAAAUUUGGGAUCAGGAUCAGUUCCCCGGCGUCCCGUCCCCUCCUCAUGUGCCCGCGCCAGUGAGCCCGAAAAGGACCCUGCCGGGACGUGCGCGCCUAUACCCUGCCUGGCUGCUGGCUGCUGGCUGCUGGCUGCUUGCCGAUUCUAUCUUGGCCGACCUCUCCCUUCCCGUCCCAAUUCUGAUUGCCGGCGAGUUCCAAUCUCGGUGCCGCCUUCAUACAUGCGCCGGGGAAUGCAGGUUCCGGAGGCACCCGCCCGCUAAUCUCGACACACGGUUUCAAGGCUUGGGACUUGGAGCUCCUCGAGUUUCUUGUUCCUACUAGGGGUGGAGUGGAGGAGCGUGAAACUGAAGCUGGGCGCCGAGAAUGGAGAGCCGAGGGCGGCGGACGCGGAGCCCCGAGCGACAGAGGCCGGCGGCGCCGCGGAAGGUGCCGGUGGUGUACUACCUCACCCGGAGCCGCCACCUCGAGCACCCGCACUUCGUCGAGGUGCCGCUCGCCUCGCCGGAGGGGCUCUAUCUCAGAGAUGUGAUUAAUCACCUCAACAUGGUGCGCGGCAAGGGCAUGGCCGCGAUGUACUCGUGGUCCUGCAAGAGGAGCUACAAGAACGGGUUCGUGUGGCACGACCUUUCGGAGGAUGACCUCGUCCUCCCGGCAACCGACGGUGAGUACGUGCUCAAGGGCUCCGAGCUCGUGGACCAAUCCCCUUCAGGUCCAUUUUAUCCUGUCAGUAACGGCAACCAGAAGCAACAGAGCAGACCGAAAGAGGGUGCACGGCAGCCAUUGCCAAGAGAUCAUUCCUACCCAUCCUCUCCUCCUAGCGUGAUAGUUAGAGAAGCCAGGCCCCGACGGUCACCGUCUGUGCCUUCACAAGAUGAGGAUGACACCCCCUCUCCGUGCAGGGAUCGCUCCUUGGAGACCAUGUCACAGCAGUCUGAGGAGCCCCAGAGGAAUGAGAGGACUCAACUGCCAGCCAGCGGGUCUGCGAGCCCAGUGGAGUUCAGAGUUUACAAGCCCACCGGUUGCAUGGAUGCUGCAACUCAGACUGAUGAUCUCGGCAGAAGAUCGGGUCGCAGAGCACCCGAGAUACGCAAGAAGAGCCUGAGCACAGAUCAUGAUGCUGUUGUUCGUGAAAUUACAGAGUACCGGCAAAGCCAUCCUCGCCGGUCAGCAGAUCUCCAAGGGAUCUCCAGGGAACUCCUGCACCAAUGUAUUACUCCAUUGAGCAUACCAUCGACCCGUGCCAAGUCUGAGAGUUUGGAGUCGUUGAUACGAGCGGAUAAUUUGACGAACAGCUUUAGGAUUCUUGAAGAGGAGGAUAUUGUUGUGCCCACCUGCCCGAAGCUAAAGCCGACAAAUGUACUGAUGCAGCUCAUCACUUGUGGCUCACUUUCGGUGAAAGAUCGUGAAAAUGCCGGAAUCGUUCAGACAUACAAGCCAAGGUUCCCAAACCUGAAGUUCCCCUCGCCGUUAAUUUCCCGCACCAUGAUGAUGGGUGAGCUUGAUUACCUGUCAGAAAAUCCCAGGUUAAUGGGAAUGAGGUUGGAAGAAAAGGAAUACUUCAGUGGGAGCCUUAUUGAGACUAAGAUGCAAAGAGAUGUUCCAGCUGAGAGGUAUUCAGCGCUUAAACGGUCUUCUUCCUACAAUGCAGAAAGGGCUGGCGACGCUCUCGAUUGCACAAGACGUGAAGAGGAUAAAACCGACAACGCAUCAUCGCGCACGAGGUGCCUCCCCCGGACGCCAAUCCUGUCAUCCUUCCUGCACCCGAAGGGCGACUCCUCGUUCAAGUCUCCGGUCUCGGACUGCCGGCGGAGCUCCUCGGCCCGGCAGGACUGCGACGAAGUGGCCUCUGGGAACGGGAGCAAGAGGUUCGCUGACGCCUCGGUCACAUCGGCGACCACGAGAGCGGACUCGUUCAGGAAGGAGGAGAAGCUCGUCAAGAUCGAGGAAAGUUAAGUGCCGCCCGUGGCCUUUCUUACCUGAACCUACUGUGAACUCUUUGUCAGUGCUCGGCUGUCGUCCGGAGCCCGCGUCGUGAUCCACUACACCGUCCCUUGCAAUGACAGUGACGAAGGCUCUGAACGCUCGGAGGAGUGACAAUGCUGCAGGGAUCCGGCUGCUGCUUUGGCAAAUUAGUUUGGGUUUACAUUGCUUGAAACAUGCAUUCUCAGCUAUAUGGCCCAUUUUUCUUCCCGGGUUUUUACUUUCUUCCUUAGAAAUUUUAGGCCCUCUUAUCAUGUAUAAGUGCCUAUUAUUAUAAUGUAUCAUUUAUGCGUUUCGCAAAAAAAAAAUGUAUCGUUUAUGUAUUUUUUCUGCUGUGGUUUCAUGAAAUUUUCUUGUAUUGGUCAGUGAAUAGAUGAUAGAAGUGUGGUGGAAUGACAAUUAUUAAUCAAGACCGUUUGCUCC